RNAcentral lists this long non-coding RNA (1385 nucleotides) under Gallus gallus (chicken). The record is from RNAcentral. Lineage: Eukaryota; Metazoa; Chordata; Aves; Galliformes; Phasianidae.
CGGCCCCGGGGGGAAUGGAGGGGGGGGGAGCAGAGGGGAACACAGCCAGGUACACAGGAGCAGGGGCUGGUUCCUGCGGGGUUGGGGGGAUUCCAGGGGGCAUCAGGCGAGGGGGCUGAACAACGCGGGCCCUCAGAGAUGGGCGCAGAGCUGCUCUCACUUCUGCAGCCGCUUGAUGCGGGCCUCUACUUCAGCAAAGUUGUCCUCUACAACAGCCAGGUUCUCCUUCAUUGUCUUCUGGACCUCUGCCAGCAGCACAGUGUUAUCCUUCAGAGCAGCAGCCACCUCCUGCUGUGUGGUGUCCAGGUGCACCAGCACCUGCACAAAUCGUGAGGCCUGCUCAUGUAGGUCCCGGAGCGUCAGCAGCCGCUGCACCACGUCGGGCAGACUGCUGGCCAUGUGGUCCCAGCGCUGCAUCAUCUCGUAGACCUGAUGGAUCUUGCUCUGCGUGUCAGCAUCCUGCACGAUCGCUUUGUGCUUGGCAAUCUCAUUCACCUUCCCCAGGACGCUCUGCAGCCGGGCCUCCACUUGGUCCAGCACAGCUGCGUCCAGGAUGUUAACCUUGGCCUGCAGGAUCUGCACGGUCUCCACGAGGCUGGUGCCCUUCAGCCCAACUAGCAGAGGAUUCUGGCUGUCAGGCUCACAGCGCACCAUGGCCUCCAGCUGCGCCAGGCGCUUCUCCAGCUCUGCUAUCUUGGCAGUCUGGGAGAACUGGUCCUGCUCUGGCCUCCAGAACAGUUCGAAGGUGAGCGCGUCAGUGGUGGGCGCAGGGGCUUUGGGGGGGCUCUUUGCUGGCGCUGCCUUCUUGCACUUGGCUACUUCCAGCUGCUGCUGCAGGCGCUUCGCCAAGGCACCCUCAGGGUCCGCGAAGUCGAUGGCGGCAGUGGGGCCCAACAGCUUCUGCAGAUGGCACGAAACCAACUGCUGCUUCAGCCCCUCCAGCUGCCGGGCCAAAGCCAUGGGCGUCAGCUCUUCCUCGGCCGCCGACUCCUUCACGGCGCUCUGGAUCUGCUCCACAUCACGGAUCAGCUCCUGCACCUCGUGCUGCAGCCGCUGGUACCGCUGCUGGGGGGUCUCCUUGGCACCCAACCCCUCUCCCAGAAUUUCAUACUCCCCAGACUCAUAGCCAGUGGUUCUGCUCUUGCUGAUGCGGUCGGAGAAAUCCACGCCAUCGGUGCCCAGGCGUUUGUCCUUGAACUUCUCGAAGGCGGCGUUGGGGUUGAUGAUGAGGUGCUCCACGCUGGUGCUGGUGAGCUCCUCCGCCUCGAACUCGGCCUGGUCAUCCUCGGGGAGGUCGCUGGUCUCGUACACGUCGGGCUCAUUCCGGGCGAUGCCGGGCAGGUCCGCGUAUUUGGGGUCGGCCAUGGCUGCGGCGGGGGCCGUCA